This 488-nucleotide long non-coding RNA is filed under the name Pan troglodytes (chimpanzee). RNAcentral's name for it is "lincRNA". Lineage: Eukaryota; Metazoa; Chordata; Mammalia; Primates; Hominidae. The record is from RNAcentral.
AGAAGCUGUUUUCAGAGAUUCAGAGGCAGGCAGAUGACCACAGCAAGAAGAACAGACAGAAAUCCAUAAGGAUAAUUCGUCUAAGCUAAUUAUAGUUAAAGCAUUACUGACUUAUAAAAACUCAGGAUUAUGCUCUCAAAAGCAAUUACAUUUAUAUUAUUUUUAUUUAAAAUAUAUAUUACAUGUAAUAUAAACUAUACACACAAUAUAUUGAACUAUAUGGAAAAUUGAAACUGUGAAAUCCCGUACUGGGCUGCACCUCUUUUAUUGACUACUAUUUUCUUACCACAUUUGGUGACACAGCAUACGUGCUCCCAAUCACAUUCAAUGAUUCUUAAUCAGUUCUCCUACCACUCUCCUCCACACACUGACAUAUGCAUCAAUUAUUCAUGGCUAUUAUCCUUUAUUGGCAAAACCUGAUUCAGACAAGAAGCAGCACAUAGUUUCUUCUAUGUGGAAAAAAUAAACUAUUUUUUUAAUAUCAAUAA